RNAcentral lists this ribosomal RNA (493 nucleotides) under Sulfitobacter guttiformis. Its description in RNAcentral is "bacterial SSU rRNA". It matches the Rfam family "Bacterial small subunit ribosomal RNA", at positions 394 to 905 of the family's 1533-position model. Lineage: Bacteria; Pseudomonadati; Pseudomonadota; Alphaproteobacteria; Rhodobacterales; Roseobacteraceae. The record is from RNAcentral.
AUGCCGCGUGAGUGAUGAAGGCCUUAGGGUCGUAAAGCUCUUUCGCCAGGGAUGAUAAUGACAGUACCUGGUAAAGAAACCCCGGCUAACUCCGUGCCAGCAGCCGCGGUAAUACGGAGGGGGUUAGCGUUGUUCGGAAUUACUGGGCGUAAAGCGCACGUAGGCGGAUUAGAAAGUUGGGGGUGAAAUCCCAGGGCUCAACCCUGGAACUGCCUCCUAAACUCCUGGUCUAGAGUUCGAGAGAGGUGAGUGGAAUUCCGAGUGUAGAGGUGAAAUUCGUAGAUAUUCGGAGGAACACCAGUGGCGAAGGCGGCUCACUGGCUCGAUACUGACGCUGAGGUGCGAAAGUGUGGGGAGCAAACAGGAUUAGAUACCCUGGUAGUCCACACCGUAAACGAUGAAUGCCAGUCGUCGGGUAGUAUACUAUUCGGUGACACACCUAACGGAUUAAGCAUUCCGCCUGGGGAGUACGGUCGCAAGAUUAAAACUCAAG